CGCAAUUUGACAGUUUUUUUUGGGGGGGGGUUUCUAAAAGAUGUCUUUGGUGUUUUUGCGUGCUUCCUUGUAACGUGGUAAUCAUUUAAAAAAGGCACCAACUGGCGUUACACGGGGUGGGGGUCUGGCUAUGUAACGUUACUAGCUUCGACUGCUAGCAUACUAAGUUAGCUAGUAACACGUAACGUUAACUUGUAAGUUAACAUAGUUAGCAGAUUCUGAUAAAAGGUUUGCUGUUGACCGGAUUAAAUACGAAGCCAACUUAACGUUAAUUGUCCGAACCGUGAACCUCCCGGGACCAUUUAAACACCGGAAUAUAAAACAAGUUAUCUAUGCUAACGUUAGCUAAAGCAGCUACUUACUUGAAUAUGUGCUCUGAUGUCCAGAUCUUCAUGGUUUAACUAGUGGAUGCUGCUGGUGAUGUCGGGGAGCGGAGUAGCCAGAUCAGCAGUGGCGUCUUGGUACUGCUGGUACUCCGACACCAGGUCAUUGAGGUUGCCCUCUGCCUCAGUGAACUCCAUUUCAUCCAUACCUUCCCCUGUAUACCAGUGGAGAAAAGCCUUCCGUCUGAACAUCAGGGAGAACUGCUCACCCACACGGCGGAAUAUCUCCUGAAUGGCCGUGUUGUUGCCGAUGAAGGUGGAGGACAUUUUGAGGCCUCGGGGUGGGAUGUCACACACGGCAACCUUGACGUUAUGAGGGAUCCAGUCCACAAAGUAUGAGCUGUUUUUCUGCUGGAUUGCAAGCAUCUGUUCAUCUACCUCUUUGGUGGACAUCCGGCCACGGAAGAUGCCAGCAACCGUGAGGUAGCGCCCCCGCCUUGGGUCGCACGCCGUCAUCAUGUUGCGAGCAUCAAACAUCUGUUGAGUGAGUUCAGGCACCGUGAGGGCUCUAUACUGUUGGCUGCCGCGGGGCGUCAGGGGGGCAAAGCCUGGCAUGAAGAAGUGGAGGCGAGGGAAAGGCACCAUGUUGACAGCCAGCUUCCUCAGGUCGGCGUUGAGCUGUCCGGGGAAUCUCAGAGAGGUCGUGACCCCACUCAUGGUCAUGGAGACCAAGUGGUUGAGGUCCCCGUAAGUCGGUGUGGUCAGUUUCAGAGUGCGGAAACAGAUGUCGUAGAGGGCCUCGUUGUCGAUGCAGAAGGUCAUGUCUGUGUUCUCCAGGAGCUGGUGCACUGACAGGGUGGCGUUGUAGGGCUCCACCACUGUGUCGGAGACUUUAGGGGAGGGCACGACGCUGAAGGUGUUCAUGAUGCGGUCAGGGUACUCCUCUCGGAUCUUGUUGAUGAUGAGGGUUCCCAUGCCAGAGCCAGUGCCACCCCCCAGCGAGUGAACCAGCUGAAAACCCUGCAUGCAAUCACAGCUUUCACUCUCGUUCCUCACUCUGUCAAUAACCUGCUCCACCAGCUCCGCUCCCUCUGUGUAGUGGCCCUUCGCCCAGUUAUUCCCAGCGCCUGAGUUCCCUGUAACACCAAAAUAAAAGUGUAUAUGUUAAUCUAAUUAUGUCACUUGUCAAUGGAAUUGCCAAUAAAUAUUUCCACUAUU
This is a long non-coding RNA of Micropterus dolomieu (smallmouth bass), 1541 nucleotides long. RefSeq lists it as uncharacterized. The transcript is spliced from 2 exons. The record is from RefSeq and is a predicted model, not a curated record. Lineage: Eukaryota; Metazoa; Chordata; Actinopteri; Centrarchiformes; Centrarchidae.